RNAcentral lists this signal recognition particle RNA (84 nucleotides) under marine eukaryotic metagenome. RNAcentral describes it as "Bacterial small signal recognition particle RNA". The stretch from base 4 to 77 matches the Rfam family "Bacterial small signal recognition particle RNA", at positions 10 to 83 of the family's 97-position model. From Rfam's summary of the family: The signal recognition particle (SRP) is a universally conserved ribonucleoprotein involved in the co-translational targeting of proteins to membranes. Archaeal SRP consists of a 7S RNA and homologues of the eukaryotic SRP19 and SRP54 proteins. In most bacteria, the SRP consists of a 4.5S RNA and the Ffh protein (a homologue of the eukaryotic SRP54 protein). The record is from RNAcentral.
CAACCCCGCGACGGUCAGUCGUGAACCCCGCCAGGCCCGGAAGGGAGCAACGGUAGCGGCGAUACCGGGUGCCGGGGAGCGGCU